This 497-nucleotide ribosomal RNA is filed under the name uncultured bacterium. RNAcentral's name for it is "partial 16S ribosomal RNA". It matches the Rfam family "Bacterial small subunit ribosomal RNA", at positions 28 to 507 of the family's 1533-position model. The record is from RNAcentral.
GACGAACGCUGGCGGCGUGCCUAAUACAUGCAAGUUGAGCGCUGAAGGUUGGUACUUGUACCAACUGGAUGAGCAGCGAACGGGGGAGUAACGCGUGGGGAAUCUGCCUUUGAGCGGGGGACAACAUUUGGAAACGAAUGCUAAUACCGCAUAAAAACUUUAAACACAAGUUUUAAGUUUGAAAGAUGCAAUUGCAUCACUCAAAGAUGAUCCCGCGUUGUGUUAGCUAGUUGGUGAGGUAAAGGCUCACCAAGGCGAUGAUACAUAGCCGACCUGAGAGGGUGAUCGGCCACAUUGGGACGGAGACACGGCCCAAACUCCUACGGGAGGCAGCAGGAGGGAAUCUUCGGCGAAGAACGAAAGUCUGACCGAGGAACGCCGCGUGAGUGAAGAAGGGUUUCGGAUCGUAAAACUCUGUUGGUAGAGAAGAACGUUGGUGAGAGUGGAAAGCUCAUCAAGUGACGGUAACUACACAGAAAGGGACGGCUAACUACGUG